RNAcentral lists this ribosomal RNA (253 nucleotides) under uncultured bacterium. RNAcentral's name for it is "partial 16S ribosomal RNA". It matches the Rfam family "Bacterial small subunit ribosomal RNA", at positions 524 to 776 of the family's 1533-position model. The record is from RNAcentral.
GACGAGGGGUCCUAGCGUUGUUCGGAAUCACUGGGCGUAAAGCGUUUGUAGGCGGCUCUAUAAGUCGGGUGUGAAAUCCCACGGCUCAACCGUGGAAGUGCAUUCGAAACUGCAGAGCUUGAAUAUGGUAGAGGAGAGUAGAAUUCCUGGUGUAGUGGUGAAAUACGUAGAUAUCAGGAGGAAUACCGGUGGCGAAGGCGACUCUCUGGACCAAUAUUGACGCUGAGAAACGGAAGUGCGGGGAUCAAACAGG